UGUGAGAUGUUUGAGGAACUAAAAGCACAAUCAUCUGAUGUUGAGGAGAAGGGCUGAGCAGCAGAGAGGCUGUUUCCUGCUUCACUUCUGCAGGAGGAGAACUCAUCUGCUGACUGUUCGACUUUACCAUCUCCAAAGACAUGUUGCUUUACCUCUGGUUACUCUUCUCUCUCUUCAUAGCCCUGGGCUCCAUGAACAGCAUAAAGCCAGAAAGAAGUGAAGAACAUGUUGCAGAGGGCAGAAACAUCAGCCUGACAUGUAAAUAUGAGGGGGCUAUCUACAAUAUCCAGUGGUACCGACAAUACCAGAGAUCCAGACCAGAGUUCCUGCUCUCCAUCACAGAGGCAGGAGGGAUCCAUCCCACUGAAUCUGAUUUCUCUGCUCACAUUGACAACACAGAGAAACGAGUUGAUCUGGAGAUCAUCUCAGCUAAAGAGACAGACUCUGCUGUGUACUACUGUGCUCUGACGCCCACAGUGACAGGAAACACCAACACUCUGUACAAAAACCUUUGGAGCAAAGACAACACAAUACUGCACAACAUCCACCAGAGGGAGUCUCUCUCUGUUAAACAUCAAUAGUUUACUGCCUUUGGAUCUGUUACCCAGGAGGAAGUGUAACUGAGAGAAGUGAAAUACAGAUCUAAGAGGAGACAGAGAGAUUCAGGGAGGAGCUAAGAUGUUCCUGAACUAUAGAAGAGAGAGGAACUUCCAUAUUC
Long non-coding RNA from Trematomus bernacchii (emerald rockcod), 718 nucleotides. RefSeq lists it as uncharacterized. The transcript has 3 exons. NCBI's taxonomy places the organism in Eukaryota, Metazoa, Chordata, Actinopteri, Perciformes, Nototheniidae. The record is from RefSeq and is a predicted model, not a curated record.